RNAcentral lists this ribosomal RNA (397 nucleotides) under uncultured bacterium. RNAcentral describes it as "partial 16S ribosomal RNA". It matches the Rfam family "Bacterial small subunit ribosomal RNA", at positions 523 to 918 of the family's 1533-position model. The record is from RNAcentral.
AUACGUAGGUGACAAGCGUUCUCCGGAUUUACUGGGCGUAAAGGGCGUGUAGGCGGUCUUGCAAGUCAGAAGUGAAAUUCCUGAGCUCAACUCGGGCGCUGCUUCUGAAACUGCAGGACUUGAGUGCUGGAGGGGAUAGCGGAAUUCCUAGUGGAGCGGUAAAAUGCGCAGAUAUUAGGAAGAACACCGGUGGCGAAGGCGGCUAUCUGGACAGUAACUGACGUUGAGGCUCGAAGGCGUGGGGAGCAAACAGGAUUAGAUACCCUGGUAGUCCACGCGGUAAACGAUGAAUACUAGGUGUAGGGGGUAUCGACUCCCUCUGUGCCGCAGUUAACACAAUAAGUAUUCCGCCUGGGGAGUACGGCCGCAAGGUUGAAACUCAAAUGAAUUGACGGGG